CUGGCUGCUCCCUUAACAGUCAGAGAGGAAGUAGCCCCAAGCUUACAGAAUGAGGGGUUUAUAUUGGGGAGGGGAGUUUGAUGGAGUUCUUUCGUAUGGCCGCAUCCUGGGGUUGUUUGCUGGUUAAUUUUGCUACAUAUUACCUUGUGACGUUUAUUACAGGAGGGUGUAGGUAAAGUUUGUUUAUGUUUCCCAUGACCUCCCCCUGUGCAGUGUGGGUGGUUUGUAAUUGGGGUUUGCUUAUUGCAGCAAGGUCUGAUAAGCAAAGUCUGCUGGCUUCACCGUGGUGCCUAGGUAAGGGCUUAGAAAUGUAAAGAGGCUUGGGGGAUGGGUGGACAGCACCAAGAAGGUUUCUUGGGCAGUUUGUCCCUAACAGAGGGCUGGUUUGGAGUCAGGGAAUCCUGGGGAAGAACACUGACCACUCAGGAAACAUAUCAAAAAACAGACACAUAUCCUAAGUCUACAUUCAUUUCAUAAAAAUGUAUUGGCCCCCUCUUGUGUGCCAAGCAUUAUUCUUGGGUGGCGAAGACAUUGGUGAGGCAAGAUAAAGUCCCUGCACUAAGUUUACACUAAGCUGGGGGAGAGAGAUACCAGGUAUGAAUUCAGCUGACACGAGUUUGGGGAAGACCUUCUAGGCAGAUUGUGUCCAGGAUAAAAACACAGAGGCACAGUUCUGAGGCUUCUAGCAUGGGACAGACAGACUCCUGGAGGAAUUUCUUAGAGAUAGCAUUGAAGGUCAUUGACAGAGGAAUUUGAUUUGCAAGUGUAGCCUAUAUAGAACAGAGUAGCUAGAACAAAGGCUCAUUAAGAUAGAGGCAUGGGCUCUAUUAGCUGGGCGUGGUGGCAAGUGCGUGUGGUCCCAGGUACUUGGGAGGCUGAGACUACAGGCGCCUGCAAUCACACCCAGCUAAUUUUUGUGUUUUUAGUAGAAAUGGGGUUUCACCAUGUUGGCCAGGCUGGUCUUGAUCUCUUGACCUCGUGAUCCACCCACCUCGGCCUCCCAAAGUGCUGAGAUUACAUGUGUGAGCCACCGCGCCUAGCUAAUUGUUGUAGAGAUGGGUUUUCGCCAUGUUGCCCAGACUGGUCUUAAACUUCUGGGGCUCAAGUGAUCUGCUCCCAUUGGGCUCCCAAAGUGCUGGGAUUAUAGGCAUGAGCCACUGCGCCUGGCAACCUACAUUUUUAAAAGACACUCAGCCAGGCACAGUGGUUCACACCUGUAAUCCCAGCACUUUGGGAGGCUGAGAUGGGAGGAUCACUCAAGGUCAGGAGUUUGAGACCAGCCUGGGCUCCUGAGACAGGUUCCAAAAAUAAAAACCCAUAACAACAAAAGAAAGACCAGCCUGGGUGACAGAGUGAGAACUUUUCUCUAAAAAAUUUUUUUUUUUUAAUUAGCCAGGUAUAAUGGUGCACACUUGUAGUCCCAGCUAUGCAGGACUGAGGCGGGAGGAUGGCUUGAGCCCAGGAAUUCAAGGCUGCAGUGAGCUAAGAUCACACCACUGCAUUCUAACCUGGGUGACACAGACAGACCGUCUCAAAAUAAUAAUAAUGAUAAUAAUAAUAAAAGAUAACCUCGUGAUUCUGCAUCAGGGAGGCCUUAUUUGAAAAUACUAGCCUAGUAUUAACUUCUUUGGGUCAUAUACAUCUUUGCAUGCCUACAUGCCUAUUCCUAGAGACACACACAUACACAAACAUUCCAAGGAGUUUUAGGGGUCUUGGAGCUCAGAUCAACACCUAGCCUUAUUUUAUUAUUAUUAUUUUUUGAGACGGAGUUUCACUCUUUUUUUUUUUUUUUUUUUUUGAGACAGAGUCUCGCUUUGUCAUCCAGGCUGGAGUGUGCAGUGGUGCAAUCUCAGCUCACUGCAACCUCCGCCUCCUGGGUUCACGCCAUUCUCCUGCCUCAGCCUCCUGAGUAGCUGGGACUACAGGCGCCCACCACCUUGCCCGGCUAAUUUUUUUUGUAUUUUUAGUAGAGACAGGGUUUCACCAUGUUAGCCAGGAUGGUCUCAAUCUCCUGACCUCAUGAUCCGCCCGCCUCAGCCUGCCAACGUGCUGGGAUUACAGGUGUGAGCCACCGCGCCUGGCCCGAGACGGAGUUUCACUCUGGUCACCCAGGCUACAGUGCAAUGGCGCAAUCUUGGCUCACUGUAACCUCCACCUCCCUGGUUCAAGCAAUUCUCAUGCCUCAGCCUCCUGAGUAGCUGGGAUUAUAGGCACCCGCCACCACACCCGGCUAACUUUUGUAUUUUCAAUAGAGACGGGAUUUCACCAUGUUGGCUAGGCUGGUCUUGAACUACUGACCUCAGGUGAUCUGCCCACCUCGGCCUCCCAAAGUGCUGGGAUUACAGGCGUGAGCCACUGCACCCGGUCUCCCACCCUUAAAUGGCCUGGACAGACGAGGGAUGGGCAUGUGGCCAUGGCCUUUACUUCUCACUCUGGCUGGCCACUUGGAUGUGGCUUAUUCUGUUGAUGCAGACAAGCAUAUCCUCAAUGCACAGUGAAGCCUGGGAAAGCCCCUUCCUGACUUCAAUUGCUUCUGGGGCUGACCCUCAAAGACCUGUGGUAGCAGAGAGAAAAGGAGGCCCUACCUCUGGUGGAAAUAUCUGUGCCAAGAAACAAGGAGCUGGCUGGGCACAGUGGCUUACGCCUGUAAUCCCAGCACUUUGGAAGGCUGAGGCUCAGGGCGGAUCACCUGAGUUCAGGAAAUGGAGACCAGCCUGACCAACAUGGUGAAACCCCAUCUCUACUAAAAAUACAAAAAAUAGCCAGGCGUGGUGGCGCAUGCCUGUAAUCCCAGUUACUCGGGAGGCUGAGGCAGGAGAAUUGCUUGAACCCGGGAGGCGGAGGAUGCAGUGAGCCGAGAUUGUGCCAUUGCACUCCAGCCUGGGCAACAAUAGCGAAACUCCGUCUCAAAAAAAAAAAAAAAAAAGAAAAAAGAAAAAAGAAAUGAGGAGCUGAGAAUGGGGUGGGGCUGAGGCUGAAGGGUUUCAUGACACUAAAAAAAAUUGAUGAGAUGCUGGAAAGUUGGGUCAUGAGGGCAGGAAGCAGAGGAGUCAGGUCUGGUUUCUAGGCCCUAAAUAAGCUUUACAAACUUCAAAGCACUCAGAGAUCUCUAGAUAAUAAUCAUAGCACCUUUAAGUGGCAAGCUGAGGGCCAAGAUCUGGCUGUCAGUCUGGGCUGAGAACUGGUGUUGCAAGCUGGGCCUCCCGGAGGCUGUGCUGAGGGUUAGGGGAGGGAACUAGGUUGUACACUAGGAAUUAAAACCUGGUACAAAAGCCGGGUGCAGUGGCUUACGCCUGUAAUGCCAGCACUUUGGAAGGCUGAGGCGGGCGGAUCAUGUGAGGUCAGGAAAUGGAGACCAGCCUGACCAACAUGGUGAAACCCCAUCUCUACUAAAAAUACAAAAAAUAGCCAGGUGCAGUGGCUCAUGCCUGUAAUCCCAGCACUUUGGGAGGUCAAGGCAGGCAGAUCACUUGGGGUCAGGAGUUCAAGACCAGCCUGGCCAACAUGGUGAAACCUCAUCUCUAUUAAAAAUACAAAAACUGGUCAGGUGUGGUGGCGCACACCUGUAAUCCCAGCUACUCGGGAGGCCGAGACAGGAGAAUCACUUGAACCCAGGAGGCAGAGGUUGCAGUGAGCCAAGAUCGUGCCACUGCACUCCAGCCUGGGCAUCAGAGAGAGACUCCAUCUCAAAAACAAAACAUUAAAAAAAAAAAAAACUGGUACAAAGGUAUCUUCUACUGCCAAGGUUCCUCUUCUGACCCCAAUAUGCCCCUGUGAUAAGGUGGCGCACGAGUCAACCCGCCCCAGAAAAGCUGAAGGAGAGAGAGACCUUGGUGGGGUCGGAUUGGAGAUGAGGUUGGAAUAAAGUCAGUUCAUUACUUCACUUGACACCGGAACAGUGUCUUUUCUCCAAAACUUCUACCUCCUUCCAGGUUGAUUAAUCUGGUUUCUUCCUUCCUGGGUAGGCCAGACACAGGGCUGAGCUGGGUGACUCUGCAUAGGCCAGCAGAGGUCACAGGCCCUUGCUCUCCUCAGGGAGAUGUUGUCCUAACCAGGAGCAGGGCAGGGGCUGCCCAUGGCUAGACUCUGCCCACAAAGGAAUUAGUGGUAGAUGGAUAAUGGGGGUGGGGAUUCUGUGCAGAGCUUGGGGAUACAGAUGGGUAGUCACCCCUGGCUACAAAUCUAAUCUAACACCAGGUGUUCCUGGCCUACCCCGCUCUGCCCAUGAUGGUACAGAGGAAAAAUGCAAGGUCUGUGCGCCUUGGGACUCUCCUCGUUGCCUGGAUUCUGAGUUGACCUGAUCUGUCACAUGGCCACUUUGUCAGAACUCAUCUGGUACGUGGGCUUCACUGAUGCUGGGCUAGUCUGACCCCAUCCAGGUCAGGGCUGGGUGUUAUCACAGGGAGGGGCAGAUGCCUGCAAAACCCUGGCUGAGACACCAGUGAAGGCCUCAGGAGUGAUGGGUAAAGUCAGCAGUCAGCUAAGAACCCUGGGGUCUCUGUGUGACCCUGGACAGGCUGCUUAGCCCUCCUUGGUCUCAGUGUCUCCAACUGUAAAAGCCUAGGAAAGUGAAGAUCUCUUCUAGUUCAAAACUGUGAUAAGGCCCUCCUGGCAGGGUCUAGGAGGGCUAAGAAGUCCUGAGGCAUGUGGCUAUCUCAGGGAGGCCCAAAG
Molecule: long non-coding RNA, 4671 nt
Filed under: Homo sapiens (human)
Lineage: Eukaryota; Metazoa; Chordata; Mammalia; Primates; Hominidae
Description: HSALNT0385324
Source: RNAcentral